This 1432-nucleotide long non-coding RNA is filed under the name Heterocephalus glaber (naked mole-rat). Its description in RNAcentral is "lncRNA (ENSHGLG00000033889.1)". Lineage: Eukaryota; Metazoa; Chordata; Mammalia; Rodentia; Bathyergidae. The record is from RNAcentral.
CCAUGGUGUCACCCACCCACAGGAUCCGUGACAACCAGAAGUGUUAUUUCCCAGAGUCCUUUUCAACCCGUGGCAUCAUCACCUCCCAGAGCCAUGACACCCAGCGUGUCACCAUCGACCAGGAGACACUCCGACCGUGUGCGGUCACCUUGCAAACCCCCAGCUUAGGGCCAGACACCACAAUGAGCUGUUUAAUUGUCCUCCAGGGUGGCAUGGCAUUCAUAGUUCCCUUCAGGGAACCAGCACAGCCCGUGCCACCCCAUUCCUGAUGGACGUGGGUGGAGCCACCGCCCCAGGUCAUGACCCCACUCUGGCUCCUCCAGACCGUGUCACUGCCUCGCUCUCCACCCAGAUCGGGCCCCAGACUUGGCCUUGGCCAGCCUCCCUCUAAGCCCUGGUGAGGGCAUGCGGGCCCUCCUGGCCCCGGCCCUGCCCUCACCCGCCAUUACCAGCGGAUUGGUGACAGGGUUAACCGCAGCCUCCCACCAUUGCUCAGGUGGGGUUUCUGAGGCCCUUGGAGGGCGCCACUGCCCCCACCCAGGGUCAGUAGUCACAGUCUGGUGCCGCGCCUGCUCUGGAGCUCUGGCCAGCAGCUGCAGCAGCUCAGAGCUGCCCCACGAGGCCCAGCUGGGGGCAAGCCCGAGGACAGCAGCUGCCAGGCCCUCGGGUGCUCCCCACCCUGCCCCAAGUCUGUCCCCUGCUCUGUACAUAGCCAUGUUGCGGGGUGGCGCUCCCCACUCUUAAAGGGCUACACCCCUCCCUCCCCCAGACCCAGGAUGAGGUGGAGGCCUGCCUCCUUAGGACUCCCCCAGUUGCUGGCCUCUGGGGUCACCCAUGUCAGGAGCCCCAGGCGGGUACCAACCCCAGCUGCCAUAUCCCAGAAGGAUGGGGGUCACCAUCUGCCAGGCCUUGGCCAGUUGUGCACCCCACCCCAAAACAUGCUCAGGCAGACUGGGCCGCCCUAGAGAGGAGCUAGCCAGCCCUGCCCCAGCUCAGCGCCCCACGGGACUCAGCUUUCCGCAGCCUGGAUGUGGGGUUCAGGCGUGCGCCCCUCCCACCUGCUCUGCUCUGCUUGGACUCAGAACCCAGCCCUUGCUUGCCUGGCACGGGUCUGCCAGGUGCCCUGACCUCUCACCUCAAAGAAGCCAUAGUGGGGAGAGAUCUCCGGGAUGUGGCAUCCCUGAGCUGGGACCUGGCCGCCCACCGUGUGCUCCCUGGCCCCCCUGCAAGCGCACAGAGAGCCCGAGGCUUUGGCAGUGGCGGGUGGGCAGCACUGGCCAGGGACCUGGAGGGCUGUGGCGAGAGCGCAGGGGCAGCCUCACUCUGCCCUUCCUUGUUCCCAUGACACUCUGCCUCGCUGGCUCUGCCUCACUGCUGCUCAGGCCCGGCAGGAGCUUCCACUUAGUAUUUUUUGAAUAAACAUAUGUUUUCC